UACGUAGGGUGCAAGCGUUGUCCGGAUUUAUUGGGCGUAAAGAGCGUGUAGGCGGCCAAGCAGGUCCGCUGUGAAAACUCGAGGCUCAACCUCGAGACGUCGGUGGAAACCGUUUGGCUAGAGUCCGGAAGAGGAGAGUGGAAUUCCCGGUGUAGCGGUGAAAUGCGCAGAUAUCAGGAGGAACACCGGUGGCGAAGGCGGAUCUCUGGGCCAUUACUGACGCUGAGGAGCGAAAGCGUGGGGAGCGAACAGG
Molecule: ribosomal RNA, 253 nt
Filed under: uncultured bacterium
Lineage: Bacteria
Description: partial 16S ribosomal RNA
Rfam family: Bacterial small subunit ribosomal RNA
Source: RNAcentral